GACGAACGCUGGCGGCAUGCCUAACACAUGCAAGUCGAGCGAAUUGAUUCCUUCGGGAUGAAGCUAGCGGCGGACGAGUGAGUAACACGUGGGCAACCUGCCUCAUAGAGGGGAAUAGCCUUCCGAAAGGAAGAUUAAUACCGCAUAAGAUUGCAUCUUCGCAUGAAGAAGCAAUUAAAGGAGCAAUCCGCUAUGAGAUGGGCCCGCGGCGCAUUAGCUAGUUGGUGAGGUAACGGCUCACCAAGGCGACGAUGCGUAGCCGAUCUGAGAGGGUGAUCGGCCACAUUGGGACUGAGACACGGCCCAGACUCCUACGGGAGGCAGCAGUGGGGGAUAUUGCACAAUGGGGGAAACCCUGAUGCAGCAAUGCCGCGUGAGUGAUGACGGCCUUCGGGUUGUAAAGCUCUGUCUUCGGGGACGAUAAUGACGGUACCCGAGGAGGAAGCCACGGCUAACUACGUGCCAGCAGCCGCCGCGG
RNAcentral lists this ribosomal RNA (478 nucleotides) under uncultured bacterium. RNAcentral describes it as "partial 16S ribosomal RNA". It matches the Rfam family "Bacterial small subunit ribosomal RNA", at positions 28 to 523 of the family's 1533-position model. The record is from RNAcentral.